Molecule: ribosomal RNA, 497 nt
Filed under: uncultured bacterium
Lineage: Bacteria
Description: partial 16S ribosomal RNA
Rfam family: Bacterial small subunit ribosomal RNA
Source: RNAcentral
GAUGAACGCUGGCGGCGUGCCUAAUACAUGCAAGUCGAGCGAACAGACGAGGAGCUUGCCCCUCUGACGUUAGCGGCGGACGGGUGAGUAACACGUGGAUAACCUAUCUAUAAUACUGGGAUAACUUCGUGAAACCGGAGCUAAUACCGGAUAAUAUAUUGAACCGCAUUGUUCAAUAGUGAAAGACGGUUUUGCUGCUACUUAUAGAUGGACCCGCGCCGCAUUAGCUAGUUGGUAAGGUAACGGCUUACCAAGGCAACGAUGCGUACCCGACCUGAGAGGGAGCUUGGCUCAGCUGAAAGUGGGAAACGACCCUCACUCAGUCGGGCGGCAGCCGUCGAGAAGCUUGCGCACUGGUUGAAAGCUUGACAGAGCAGCGCAGCUACAGUGAUGAUGGUACUCGCAUACUAAAACCCUGUUAUUCUGGAAGAACAAAUGUGUAAGUCCCUAUGCACGUAUUGACGGGACCUGAUCAGAAAGCCACGGCUAACUACGUG